ACUCGAGCCAUUCGCACAAUGUUCGCCAGAUGGCCGCACGCUUUGUUCGUUCGGCUCGCGUUA
Molecule: microRNA precursor, 63 nt
Filed under: Eisenia fetida (common brandling worm)
Lineage: Eukaryota; Metazoa; Annelida; Clitellata; Crassiclitellata; Lumbricidae
Description: Efe-Mir-375_pre stem-loop
Source: RNAcentral